UAUGGAGGGUGCAAGCGUUAUCCGGAUUCACUGGGUUUAAAGGGUGCGUAGGCGGGCAAGUAAGUCAGUGGUGAAAUCUCCGGGCUUAACCCGGAAACUGCCAUUGAUACUAUUUGUCUUGAAUACUGUGGAGGUCAGCGGAAUAUGUCAUGUAGCGGUGAAAUGCUUAGAUAUGACAUAGAACACCAAUUGCGAAGGCAGCUGGCUACACAAAUAUUGACACUGAGGCACGAAAGCGUGGGGAUCAAACAGG
RNAcentral lists this ribosomal RNA (253 nucleotides) under uncultured bacterium. Its description in RNAcentral is "partial 16S ribosomal RNA". It matches the Rfam family "Bacterial small subunit ribosomal RNA", at positions 524 to 776 of the family's 1533-position model. The record is from RNAcentral.